Molecule: ribosomal RNA, 274 nt
Filed under: uncultured bacterium
Lineage: Bacteria
Description: partial 16S ribosomal RNA
Rfam family: Bacterial small subunit ribosomal RNA
Source: RNAcentral
AUACGGAGGGUGCAAGCGUUACUCGGAAUCACUGGGCGUAAAGCGCGCGCAGGUGGCCUGAUAAGUUGGAUGUGAAAGCCUACGGCUCAACCGUAGAACUGCAUCCAAAACUGUCAGGCUAGAGUGUGGGAGAGGAAGAUGGAAUUAGUUGUGUAGGGGUAAAAUCCGUAGAGAUAACUAGGAAUACCAAAAGCGAAGGCGAUCUUCUGGAACAGUUCUGACGCUGAGGCGCGAAAGCGUGGGGAGCAAACAGGAUUAGAAACCCCGGUAGUCC